This 93-nucleotide transfer RNA is filed under the name Shimia sp. SK013. Its description in RNAcentral is "tRNA-Ser". The record is from RNAcentral. Lineage: Bacteria; Pseudomonadati; Pseudomonadota; Alphaproteobacteria; Rhodobacterales; Roseobacteraceae.
AUCCGCAAUGGCGAGGCAAUGCAGUUCGACCUGACACCGAAGCGAUCGGACGAGCCGCAGGCAGAGGGUGGGUUCAAAACGUAUUGGCGGAUU